UCACUCUGACUAAUAGUGUUGGCUCCUGUUUCCGGGGAGAAAACAUUCCAAGGCCCCAAGUCAGGAUAUUAAUCCCACCUCAUUUUUUAAGAGAAAAAUACUUAAUCAUUUGCCAAGAGCAAAACAAUUGGGACCAUGAGAGAGCACCUGACCUGAAAUACCAGCCAAAUUCCUCUCCAGUCAAACCCAGUCCCUUUGGUCAAUCAGUUUAAAUCUAAAGGUAUGUUUGUGUUUCUAGACUGUCCUGAGGCUCCACCCCCUGUAGAGGACAGGGCUUCCUCCUCCAACUUCCUGAGAGGGAGAAAGGGCAUGAAUGCUCUGCACACAUAUCUGUUGCUCUGCAGGGUCGGCUAGGAUGGGGAAAGAGCUUCAGAGAUCCAUUUGAGAAGGAAAGCUCCACUCCAAGAGGAAUGCAAGUUACAUUUGUGCUCUAUAAAAUCGGUAUCUCCCAAUUUAUUUACCCUGGCAUGAUUAUUUAUCUGACAUUAUGUUGCAGCAGUAACCCAGGAAGUUUCUUUGUAGUUGCUCUGUUACCACUCUUGUUUUGCAGUAACUCUGUAAAUAACUUGUGUCACUAUUCUAUGUCCCAUUUCCAGAUGGAAGAUAAGACCGUUAUUUCUGCUUCAGUGCAAAAUCUUAACAGCUGAUAUAAGAAGGUGUUCAGAUUCCUAUCUAAAUUACAUGCCAGACAUUCUGCAUUAACAUUGAUAGCUUAGAGAGCCUUGGAGACAUGUGAAGAUAUUUUAAUCAACAGUAGAGCAUGGAAGAGAUGUAAGAGAUGUAAGAAACUUCAGAAAUGGGCAUUCAAAAACCAUGAGUAUCUCCUGCACUCCUUCCCUUCUCAAAAGCAGGAAAAAAAAAAUUUUAAGUGGUAUGGCCUUUAUCUCUGUGUCUAGUUGAUAUGGGAUCGUUUUGAAAACUUUUUCAUUUAAGCAGCUACAAGCCACACCCCCACUGAUAUCAAGCACAGUGUGGAGGCAGAGGCACAAUGAAGAAUGUCCAAUAACAAUAAAAAAGUGGUUUAUGAUGUAAGAAA
This is a long non-coding RNA of Pteropus alecto (black flying fox), 1036 nucleotides long. RefSeq lists it as uncharacterized. NCBI's taxonomy places the organism in Eukaryota, Metazoa, Chordata, Mammalia, Chiroptera, Pteropodidae. The transcript has 2 exons. The record is from RefSeq and is a predicted model, not a curated record.